Cuculus canorus (common cuckoo) is the source of this 655-nucleotide long non-coding RNA. RefSeq lists it as uncharacterized. NCBI's taxonomy places the organism in Eukaryota, Metazoa, Chordata, Aves, Cuculiformes, Cuculidae. The transcript is spliced from 3 exons. The record is from RefSeq and is a predicted model, not a curated record.
UAUACAUCUAUCUUCACAAAAGAAGGUGAAGAAUUUGGACCACAGUGGCUGUAAGACAAGAAAGAAGAGACAUCUCUGACUCCCUUCUUCGUCUUGUCCCUGCCCCAAAUGAAACAGUAAGACAACGAUGGCCAGCCUGGUUCAAAGCAUGUUGCUUUAUUGUGUGGAAGAUCCAGUCCAUUUUUGUUGUCCAGCCACCAUGCAGGUUCUGCAGAAUAUCACAAAUGACACAGGGCACCUGAAAAGCUGAUACUAUGGCAACUAUAGGAGAGAAAUAUUGCUGAGUGACCAGCAAGGCUAUGAUGUGCAUUACACCUGACAUUUAAGAAUUCUCAAGUUAUUGCAAUUACGCAAUCCCAAGAGGAUUUUAAGUGUUAAAUAAAAGGAAAAAAUCACAUAUUUAAACAUUUAUCUUUAUACACGUGUGCUGGCCCUUCAAAGCUAAAGUGAGGUUUCAUGAACCAAAGACCUUGUAAGUGCCAAGAUCACCUACUGAGUUACAAGUGGAUGGCUGAUCUUCAACUGAAGAAUUAGAACGGACCCACUGCAUGCCAAUUAAAAUGCUACUUUUCAGUUAAAAAGUUCAACUAUUAAUGGUCACCAGUCGUAAACUGCAUUUUAGGUACAAAAUAUUCUGGAAGUUAAACACUUAAAA